AUACGGAGGGUGCAAGCGUUACUCGGAAUCACUGGGCGUAAGGCGCGCGCAGGCGGUUUGAUAAGUUGGAUGUGAAAUCCUAUGGCUCAACCAUAGAACUGCAUCCAAAACUGUCAAACUAGAGUCUGGGAGAGGAAGAUGGAAUUAGUUGUGUAGGGGUAAAAUCCGUAGAGAUAACUAGGAAUACCAAAAGCGAAGGCGAUCUUCUGGAACAGUACUGACGCUGAGGCGCGAAAGCGUGGGGAGCAAACAGGAUUAGAAACCCCAGUAGUCC
This 274-nucleotide ribosomal RNA is filed under the name uncultured bacterium. RNAcentral's name for it is "partial 16S ribosomal RNA". It matches the Rfam family "Bacterial small subunit ribosomal RNA", at positions 523 to 796 of the family's 1533-position model. The record is from RNAcentral.